Molecule: unclassified non-coding RNA, 790 nt
Filed under: Hevea brasiliensis (rubber tree)
Lineage: Eukaryota; Viridiplantae; Streptophyta; Magnoliopsida; Malpighiales; Euphorbiaceae
Source: RNAcentral
GACAAAACCAAAACCAAAACCUCCUUUUGAGUUUUAACUAAGCAAACCCAGCUUAGAUCCAACCUCUGAAAUCUCCCUAUAUAUACCCCAAUUUCCUCGACCUAACGAUCUCUCAUUCUUUCAUUUCUUGAUCUUCUUCUUGUGCUUAUGUUGUUUGUGUUUGUUUAUCUUCUAAUAAAAUGAGCAAUAUACCCACUUCUCUCACAGAUUCUUCCUUUGCCCUGUUCUCUCUAGCCAUUUCUGCCUCUGACCCUUGGCCUUUCCCUCUUCUUCUCUAAUAUUUCACAACAAAACCCACUUUUUCUUGAUUUUCUUGUUUCUUGAUUCUUGAUUUUCUUGUUUUGUAUUGAUAGUUGUAGAUAUGGGGAGUACUGGAGAUAGAAACAACCAUUAUUUGAAUUCCAAUGCCAAUUUGCCACAUCUUCUUCACUUUCAUAAUCAGCAUCAUCAUCACCACGGAGGAAGCAAGAAAGAUUUGAAAGAUAUUCCAAAAGGGUGCUUGGCGAUCUUGGUGGGACAAGGUGAGGAGCAACAGAGGUUUGUUAUCCCUGUGAUUUACAUAAAUCAUCCACUUUUCAUUCAGCUCCUCAAAGAAGCUGAAGAAGAGUAUGGAUUUGAUCAAAAAGGCCCCAUAACUAUUCCUUGUCAUGUCGAGGAGUUUCGCAACGUUCAAGGCAUGAUCGACAGGGAAAACACCCACCACCACCACCAUCACCAUCUUUUAUGCUUUAGGAUUUGAUGUUUAUCAUGUGAUUGUGUAAAGUUUGCUGUUAAUUCAUCCCUUUAUUCU